Molecule: RNase P RNA, 384 nt
Filed under: Candidatus Omnitrophota bacterium
Lineage: Bacteria; Pseudomonadati; Candidatus Omnitrophota
Description: Candidatus Omnitrophica bacterium RNase P RNA component class A
Rfam family: Bacterial RNase P class A
About the family: Ribonuclease P (RNase P) is a ubiquitous endoribonuclease, found in archaea, bacteria and eukarya as well as chloroplasts and mitochondria. Its best characterised activity is the generation of mature 5'-ends of tRNAs by cleaving the 5'-leader elements of precursor-tRNAs.
Source: RNAcentral
AGAGCAAGUCUGGUGAUCGCUCUGCGUCUCAAAGGCAUUUUCCGUUUUAGCGAUGAUAUUGAGACGCGGAGAGGAAAGUCCGAGCUUCUCAGGGCAGCGUAGCGGGUAAUACCCGCCUCCGUUAUCGCAGCGGAAGGAUUAGAGCCACAGAGACGAGCGUAGGGCGAAGGCCUUACGGUGAAACGAGGCAAUCUCUACGCGAAGCAAGGCCAAAUAGAUUCUACCUGCUAUGUGAUAUCAUGGCUAAGGGGGCCCUGACCAGGUCUUCGUUUGAAGGGGUAGAACGGGUAGGCCGCUUGAUCUGUCAAAGCAAUUUGGCAGACGAGAGAGAUGAUCACAUCCGUUAUAGCGGAAACAGAACUCGGCUUAUGACUUGCUCUCUUU